This 85-nucleotide transfer RNA is filed under the name Holosporaceae bacterium. RNAcentral's name for it is "tRNA-Leu". It matches the Rfam family "tRNA". Rfam says of the family: Transfer RNA (tRNA) molecules are approximately 80 nucleotides in length. Their secondary structure includes four short double-helical elements and three loops (D, anti-codon, and T loops). Further hydrogen bonds mediate the characteristic L-shaped molecular structure. tRNAs have two regions of fundamental functional importance: the anti-codon, which is responsible for specific mRNA codon recognition, and the 3' end, to which the tRNAs corresponding amino acid is attached (by aminoacyl-tRNA synthetases). tRNAs cope with the degeneracy of the genetic code in two manners: having more than one tRNA (with a specific anti-codon) for a particular amino acid; and 'wobble' base-pairing, i.e. permitting non-standard base-pairing at the 3rd anti-codon position. Lineage: Bacteria; Pseudomonadati; Pseudomonadota; Alphaproteobacteria; Holosporales; Holosporaceae. The record is from RNAcentral.
GCGGGCGUGGCGGAAUUGGUAGACGCGCCAGAUUUAGGUUCUGGUGGUUUGUGCCGUGGGGGUUCAAGUCCCUCCGCCCGCACCA